CACGUAGGGGGCAAGCGUUGUCCGGAUUUAUUGGGCGUAAAGAGCUCGUAGGCGGUUCGGUAAGUCGGGUGUGAAAACUCUGGGCUCAACCCAGAGACGCCACCCGAUACUGCUGUGACUUGAGUCCGGUAGGGGAGCGUGGAAUUCCUGGUGUAGCGGUGAAAUGCGCAGAUAUCAGGAGGAACACCAGCGGCGAAGGCGGCGCUCUGGGCCGGAACUGACGCUGAGGAGCGAAAGCGUGGGUAGCAAACAGG
Molecule: ribosomal RNA, 254 nt
Filed under: uncultured bacterium
Lineage: Bacteria
Description: partial 16S ribosomal RNA
Rfam family: Bacterial small subunit ribosomal RNA
Source: RNAcentral